This 259-nucleotide ribosomal RNA is filed under the name uncultured archaeon. Its description in RNAcentral is "partial 16S ribosomal RNA". It matches the Rfam family "Archaeal small subunit ribosomal RNA", at positions 748 to 1008 of the family's 1478-position model. The record is from RNAcentral.
CAGCCGUAAACUAUGCGCGUUAGGUGUACUGGUGACCACGAGUCACCGGGUGCCGAAGGGAAACCGUGAAACGUGCCGCCUGGGAAGUACGGUCGCAAGGCUGAAACUUAAAGGAAUUGGCGGGGAGCACCACAACGGGUGGAGCCUGCGGUUUAAUUGGACUCAACGCCGGAAAUCUCACCGGAUAGGACAGACAUAUGAUAGUCGGGCUGAAGACUCUACUUGAUGAUCUGAGAGGUGGUGCAUGGCGUCAGUGACU